RNAcentral lists this ribosomal RNA (610 nucleotides) under Salmonella enterica. RNAcentral describes it as "partial 23S ribosomal RNA". It matches the Rfam family "Bacterial large subunit ribosomal RNA", at positions 579 to 1190 of the family's 2925-position model. Lineage: Bacteria; Pseudomonadati; Pseudomonadota; Gammaproteobacteria; Enterobacterales; Enterobacteriaceae. The record is from RNAcentral. RNAcentral also lists the same sequence under 1 other name.
GGCUUAGUGGUGGGGUGACUGCGUACCUUUUGUAUAAUGGGUCAGCGACUUAUAUUCUGUAGCAAGGUUAACCGAAUAGGGGAGCCGGAGGGAAACCGAGUCUUAAUUGGGCGUUAAGUUGCAGGGUAUAGACCCGAAACCCGGUGAUCUAGCCAUGGGCAGGUUGAAGGUUGGGUAACACUAACUGGAGGACCGAACCGACUAAUGUUGAAAAAUUAGCGGAUGACCUGUGGCUGGGGGUGAAAGGCCAAUCAAACCGGGAGAUAGCUGGUUCUCCCCGAAAGCUAUUUAGGUAGCGCCUCGUGAAUUCAUCUCCGGGGGUAGAGCACUGUUUCGGCUAGGGGGCCAUCCCGGCUUACCAACCCGAUGCAAACUGCGAAUACCGGAGAAUGUUAUCACGGGAGACACACGGCGGGUGCUAACGUCCGUCGUGAAGAGGGAAACAACCCAGACCGCCAGCUAAGGUCCCAAAGUCAUGGUUAAGUGGGAAACGAUGUGGGAAGGCCCAGACAGCCAGGAUGUUGGCUUAGAAGCAGCCAUCAUUUAAAGAAAGCGUAAUAGCUCACUGGUCGAGUCGGCCUGCGCGGAAGAUGUAACGGGGCUAAACCAU